This 475-nucleotide ribosomal RNA is filed under the name uncultured organism. RNAcentral's name for it is "partial 16S ribosomal RNA". It matches the Rfam family "Bacterial small subunit ribosomal RNA", at positions 334 to 800 of the family's 1533-position model. The record is from RNAcentral.
CACUCCUACGGGAGGCAGCAGUGGGGAAUAUUGCACCAUGGGCGCAAGCCUGAUGCAGCCAUGCCGCGUGUAUGAAGAAGGCCUUCGGGUUGUAAAGUACUUUCAGCGGGGAGGAAGGCGAUAAGGUUAAUAACCUUGUCGAUUGACGUUACCCGCAGAAGAAGCACCGGCUAACUCCGUGCCAGCAGCCGCGGUAAUACGGAGGGUGCAAGCGUUAAUCGGAAUUACUGGGCGUAAAGCGCACGCAGGCGGUCUGUCAAGUCGGAUGUGAAAUCCCCGGGCUCAACCUGGGAACUGCAUUCGAAACUGGCAGGCUAGAGUCUUGUAGAGGGGGGUAGAAUUCCAGGUGUAGCGGUGAAAUGCGUAGAGAUCUGGAGGAAUACCGGUGGCGAAGGCGGCCCCCUGGACAAAGACUGACGCUCAGGUGCGAAAGCGUGGGGAGCAAACAGGAUUAGAAACCCGGGUAGUCCCAUGA